Molecule: ribosomal RNA, 460 nt
Filed under: uncultured bacterium
Lineage: Bacteria
Description: partial 16S ribosomal RNA
Rfam family: Bacterial small subunit ribosomal RNA
Source: RNAcentral
CCUACGGGUGGCUGCAGUGAGGAAUAUUGGUCAAUGGCCGGAAGGCUGAACCAGCCAAGCCGCGUGAGGGAGGAAGGCGCAGAGCGUCGCAGACCUCUUUUGCCGGGGGACAAAAGGCCGCACUCGUCCGGUCCUGAGGGUACCCGGAGAAAAAGCAUCGGCUAACUCCGUGCCAGCAGCCGCGGUAAUACGGGAGGUGCGAGCGUUAUCCGGAUUCAUUGGGUUUAAAGGGUGCGUAGGCCGGGCCUUAAGCCUGCCGGGAAAUUGGGGGGCUCAACCCCGGCCGGGCGGCGCGAACUGGGGGCCUUGAGUGCGCCGAAGGCAGGCGGAAUGCGCGGUGUAGCGGUGAAAUGCAUAGAUAUCGCGCAGAACCCCGAUUGCGAAGGCAGCGUGCCGUGGCGCCACUGACGCUGAGGCACGAAAGCGCGGGGAUCGAACAGGAUUAGAUACCCUGGUAGUC